AAAUUGAAGAGUUUGAUCAUGGCUCAGAUUGAACGCUGGCGGCAGGCUUAACACAUGCAAGUCGAACGGUAACAGGAAGCAGCUUGCUGCUUUGCUGACGAGUGGCGGACGGGUGAGUAAUGUCUGGGAAACUGCCUGAUGGAGGGGGAUAACUACUGGAAACGGUGGCUAAUACCGCAUAACGUCGCAAGACCAAAGAGGGGGACCUUCGGGCCUCUUGCCAUCAGAUGUGCCCAGAUGGGAUUAGCUAGUUGGUGAGGUAACGGCUCACCAAGGCGACGAUCCCUAGCUGGUCUGAGAGGAUGACCAGCCACACUGGAACUGAGACACGGUCCAGACUCCUACGGGAGGCAGCAGUGGGGAAUAUUGCACAAUGGGCGCAAGCCUGAUGCAGCCAUGCCGCGUGUAUGAAGAAGGCCUUCGGGUUGUAAAGUACUUUCAGCGGGGAGGAAGGUGUUGUGGUUAAUAACCACAGCAAUUGACGUUACCCGCAGAAGAAGCACCGGCUAACUCCGUGCCAGCAGCCGCGGUAAUACGGAGGGUGCAAGCGUUAAUCGGAAUUACUGGGCGUAAAGCGCACGCAGGCGGUCUGUCAAGUCGGAUGUGAAAUCCCCGGGCUCAACCUGGGAACUGCAUUCGAAACUGGCAGGCUUGAGUCUUGUAGAGGGGGGUAGAAUUCCAGGUGUAGCGGUGAAAUGCGUAGAGAUCUGGAGGAAUACCGGUGGCGAAGGCGGCCCCCUGGACAAAGACUGACGCUCAGGUGCGAAAGCGUGGGGAGCAAACAGGAUUAGAUACCCUGGUAGUCCACGCCGUAAACGAUGUCUACUUGGAGGUUGUGCCCUUGAGGCGUGGCUUCCGGAGCUAACGCGUUAAGUAGACCGCCUGGGGAGUACGGCCGCAAGGUUAAAACUCAAAUGAAUUGACGGGGGCCCGCACAAGCGGUGGAGCAUGUGGUUUAAUUCGAUGCAACGCGAAGAACCUUACCUGGUCUUGACAUCCACGGAAGUUUUCAGAGAUGAGAAUGUGCCUUCGGGAACCGUGAGACAGGUGCUGCAUGGCUGUCGUCAGCUCGUGUUGUGAAAUGUUGGGUUAAGUCCCGCAACGAGCGCAACCCUUAUCCUUUGUUGCCAGCGGUCCGGCCGGGAACUCAAAGGAGACUGCCAGUGAUAAACUGGAGGAAGGUGGGGAUGACGUCAAGUCAUCAUGGCCCUUACGACCAGGGCUACACACGUGCUACAAUGGCGCAUACAAAGAGAAGCGACCUCGCGAGAGCAAGCGGACCUCAUAAAGUGCGUCGUAGUCCGGAUUGGAGUCUGCAACUCGACUCCAUGAAGUCGGAAUCGCUAGUAAUCGUGGAUCAGAAUGCCACGGUGAAUACGUUCCCGGGCCUUGUACACACCGCCCGUCACACCAUGGGAGUGGGUUGCAAAAGAAGUAGGUAGCUUAACCUUCGGGAGGGCGCUUACCACUUUGUGAUUCAUGACUGGGGUGAAGUCGUAACAAGGUAACCGUAGGGGAACCUGCGGUUGGAUCACCUCCUUA
RNAcentral lists this ribosomal RNA (1542 nucleotides) under Salmonella enterica subsp. enterica serovar Corvallis. RNAcentral's name for it is "bacterial SSU rRNA". It matches the Rfam family "Bacterial small subunit ribosomal RNA". The record is from RNAcentral. Lineage: Bacteria; Pseudomonadati; Pseudomonadota; Gammaproteobacteria; Enterobacterales; Enterobacteriaceae.